RNAcentral lists this transfer RNA (63 nucleotides) under Microdiplogynium sp. XFX. RNAcentral describes it as "tRNA-Leu". Lineage: Eukaryota; Metazoa; Arthropoda; Arachnida; Mesostigmata; Diplogyniidae. The record is from RNAcentral.
AUUAAAGUGGCAGAAUAUAGUGCAAAGAAUUUAAGCUUCUUAAAUGAUUUAUAUCCUUUAAUA